CUCGCAAGAGUGAACUAGCUAACUGAAAUCAUUAUGAGUCAUUAAUUUGGUGAUUAUGAUAACAUAAGGGAAAAAAAAUGAUAUUACCUUAUUAUUAGUGUUGUCCAAAACUGGUGCCAGAAGACUCGGUAAGACCAGAGACGCAAACGUUAGUCAUCUUAAUCAGGCGUAAAGGGUGUGUAGGCUGCUUUAAAAGUUUAAAUCUUUUUAAUAGCUCUUUUGCCGUUGUCCUGCCAUUAUUUAUUUUAUUUAUAAAUAAUAAACAAUAAUGAAUAUAAAGGCAGUACAUUUUUUAAUUUUAUUAAUUUAAUUUAAUAAUUAUAAAGGGGACAAAAAAGAUAUCCCGGUUUAAGUAAAAAGAAUAAAAUGAAUUAAAGCUAGAAUCAAAUUGAGGAUAAACCAAAUAAUACUUAGAGUAGGGCCGAUAUCCGCAGAUACUAAGGGGAAUACUAAAGGUGAAAGCUUUUUAUCUACUAUUGAUUGACGCUGAGAAACGAAGGUGAGAACAGGAAAUAGGAUUUGAUACCCAGAUACCUCUCACUGUCAACGAUGAAUGGUGGUUGUUAGUUUUAAUAAAAACUGGUAACGAUGUUAACACGAUAACCAUUCCGCCUUGCGAGUACGGUUGCAAAACUGAAACCAAAAAAAUUAGUCGGUUUCGAAGCAAACGAAGUGAAGCAU
This 681-nucleotide ribosomal RNA is filed under the name Tricholoma murrillianum. Its description in RNAcentral is "partial small subunit ribosomal RNA". It matches the Rfam family "Bacterial small subunit ribosomal RNA", at positions 374 to 940 of the family's 1533-position model. Lineage: Eukaryota; Fungi; Basidiomycota; Agaricomycetes; Agaricales; Tricholomataceae. The record is from RNAcentral.